GUGCCAGCCGCCGCGGUAAUACGGAGAGGGGCAAGCGUUAUCCGGAAUUAUUGGGCGUAAAGAGGUGCGUAGGCGGUUUCUUAAGCGCGGGGUGAAAGGCAGUGGCUUAACGAUUGUUAGCCUUGCGAACUGGGAAACUUGAGUGCUGGAGAGGAAAGCGGAAUUCCUAGUGUAGCGGUGAAAUGCGUAUAUAUAUAAGAGGAACACCAGUGGCGAAGGCGGCUUUCUGGACAGUAACUGACGCUGAGGCACGAAAGUGUGGGGAGCAAACAGGAUUAUAUACCCUGGUAUGUCCACACCGUAAACGAUGAGCACUCUAGGUGUCGGGUCCGCAAGGAUUCGGUGCCGCAGUUAACGCAUUAAGUGCUCCGCCUGGGGAGUACGUACGCAAGUGAUGAAACUCAAAGGAAUUGACGGGGACCCGCACAAGCAGCGGAGCAUUGUGGUUUAAUUCGAAGCAACGCGAGAACCUUACCAGGACUUGACAUCCUCUUGAAAGGCUGGGUAACGCCGGCCCCUCUUCGGACAAGAGAGACAGGUGGUGCAUGGUUGUCGUCAGCUCGUGUCGUGAGAUGUUGGGUUAAGUCCCGCAACGAGCGCAACCCUUGUUACUAGUUGCCAUCAUUCAGUUGGGCACUCUAGUGAGACUGCCGGGGAUAACUCGGAGGAAGGUGGGGAUGACGUCAAAUCAUCAUGCCCCUUAUGUUCUGGGCUACACACGUGUCUACAAUGGUUGGUACAAAGAGCAGCAAGCCCGCGAGGGGGAGCAAAUCUCAAAAGCCAAUCCCAGUUCGGAUUGUAGGCUGCAACUCGCCUACAUGAAGUCGGAGUUGUUAUUAAUCGUGAAUCAGAAUGCCACGGUGAAUGCGUUCCCGGGUCUUGUACACACCGCCCGU
RNAcentral lists this ribosomal RNA (896 nucleotides) under uncultured bacterium. RNAcentral's name for it is "bacterial SSU rRNA". It matches the Rfam family "Bacterial small subunit ribosomal RNA", at positions 505 to 1397 of the family's 1533-position model. The record is from RNAcentral.